GACGGAGGAUGCAAGUGUUAUCCGGAAUCACUGGGCGUAAAGCGUCUGUAGGUGGUCAAAUAAGUCAACUGUUAAAUCUUGAGGCUCAACCUCAAAAUCGCAGUCGAAACUAUUAGACUAGAGUAUAGUAGGGGUAAAGGGAAUUUCCAGUGGAGCGGUGAAAUGCGUAGAGAUUGGAAAGAACACCGAUGGCGAAGGCAGCCUCCUGGGCCAACACUGACGCUCAUGCACGAAAGCGUGGGGAGCAAACAGG
RNAcentral lists this ribosomal RNA (253 nucleotides) under uncultured bacterium. RNAcentral's name for it is "partial 16S ribosomal RNA". It matches the Rfam family "Bacterial small subunit ribosomal RNA", at positions 524 to 776 of the family's 1533-position model. The record is from RNAcentral.